CGUCGUUAAGGAACUGAGAGUACUGGUCCGGCUGGACCUUUCCUUCUGGGGAAUCUCAUGGCCUUCACUGGCUGUGGGGGGAACCAGGACUUUUACUGUGAAAAAUUAGAGUGUUCAAAGCAGGCCUUUGCUCGAAUACAUUAGCAUGGAAUAAUAGAAUAGGACGUGCGGUUCUAUUUUGUUGGUUUCUAGGACCGCCGUAAUGAUUAAUAGGGAUAGUCGGGGGCGUCAGUAUUCAGCUAUUCAGUGUCAGAGGUGAAAUUCUUGGAUUUGCUGAAGACUAACUACUGCGUACUGCGAAAGAUUCGCCAAGGAUGUUUUCAUUAAUCAGGAACGAAAGUUAGGGAUCCCGACUA
Molecule: ribosomal RNA, 356 nt
Filed under: uncultured fungus
Lineage: Eukaryota; Fungi
Description: bacterial SSU rRNA
Rfam family: Eukaryotic small subunit ribosomal RNA
Source: RNAcentral